AGUGAACGCUGGCGGUAGGCCUAACACAUGCAAGUCGAACGGCAGCACAGUAAGAGCUUGCUCUUACGGGUGGCGAGUGGCGGACGGGUGAGGAAUACAUCGGAAUCUACUUUUUCGUGGGGGAUAACGUAGGGAAACUUACGCUAAUACCGCAUACGACCUACGGGUGAAAGCAGGGGAUCUUCGGACCUUGCGCGAUUGAAUGAGCCGAUGUCGGAUUAGCUAGUUGGCGGGGUAAAGGCCCACCAAGGCGACGAUCCGUAGCUGGUCUGAGAGGAUGAUCAGCCACACUGGAACUGAGACACGGUCCAGACUCCUACGGGAGGCAGCAGUGGGGAAUAUUGGACAAUGGGCGCAAGCCUGAUCCAGCCAUACCGCGUGGGUGAAGAAGGCCUUCGGGUUGUAAAGCCCUUUUGUUGGGAAAGAAAAGCAGCAGGUUAAUACCCCGCUGUCCUGACGGUACCCAAAGAAUAAGCACCGGCUAACCUCGUG
This 492-nucleotide ribosomal RNA is filed under the name uncultured bacterium. Its description in RNAcentral is "partial 16S ribosomal RNA". It matches the Rfam family "Bacterial small subunit ribosomal RNA", at positions 29 to 507 of the family's 1533-position model. The record is from RNAcentral.